Neofelis nebulosa (Clouded leopard) is the source of this 1809-nucleotide long non-coding RNA. RefSeq lists it as uncharacterized. The transcript has 2 exons. The record is from RefSeq and is a predicted model, not a curated record. Lineage: Eukaryota; Metazoa; Chordata; Mammalia; Carnivora; Felidae.
GUCAGCAGCUGGGGUUGGGGCGGGGAGAAAAUGAGGAGUUAGUGUUUAAUGCAUACAGAGUUUCAAUUUGGGAGAUGAAGAAAGUUCUAGAGAAGGAUGGUGGUAAUGGAUACACAAUAAGGAGAAUGUAUCUAAUGUCCCUGAAGUACACACCUAGAAAUUUUUAAGAUGGUAAAUUUUGUUAUGUGUAUUUUACCACAAUUUUUUGAGGUUUAUUUAGGAGAGGGAGAGAGAGAGAGCCUGAGCAGGGGAGGGAUAGAGAGAGAGAAAGAGAGAGAGAGCAUCCCCAGCCAACUUGGGGCUCGAACCUAUGAACCAUGAGAUCACGACCUGAGUGGAAACUAAGAGCCGGAUGCUUAACCGAUUGAGCCACCCAGGUACCCCUACCACAAUUAAAAAAAAAAAAAAAAUCCUUUGGGGAUUCCCAGCUGGCUCGGUCGAUAAGCAUGUGACUCUUGAGCUCAGCGUCCUGAGCUCAGUCUCCACAUUGGGUGUGGAACCUGCUGAAAAAUAAACAAAUAAGGAAGUCCAUCUGUCCUUUGGUGUCCCUGCCACUGGAAAUUUCUCACUGGAAUUCAUGCCAGGCUGUGGCUCCUGCCAUCUUGUUUUGUGCCCCCACCCACUUCAUUUCAUUUCUCUGACCUUCCCUGUCUUCUCUCUUCUUGGGGUCCCUUUUCCCUAAGCUCCCGUUAUGACGCUGGUAAAGCCGUUGAGUCCCUCAUGUAUUUAUUUAACCACGUCCCUUCAACCAUGUCCCGGGCACCGCCCUCCCCUUCCUCGACCAAAGUGGCUCAUCAAGAUGUUUUCCUAAACAAAACUGUUCUCACCCUGCUAAAUGCAUUGAAAACAUGCCAUCUGCUGUAUACGCUGGUCCCCUGAGAAAUUGAGGAGUCCAAGCCCGCAGCUGAGACUCAGAGCUCCUCUCCACCAGCUGCCAGGCUGAGGCUAGACCCCGGGGUCCCAGGAGUGAAUUUGUCAGAGUAAAGGCCGCUUUGGGCAGCCUCUUGGCAGCCUGCCGACAGCCCCUUCCCGCGCCACUCUGUCUGCCUGAGCACCACGUAGAUCAAGCCUCAGAUGUGCGGGCCCGAGGAGAAAACGGAGGAUGACAGCAAGGACCGCUCGCCAAGCCGAGAUGAGAAAAAUUAAACACGGAAAGAAAAUGUCUGAGCUGGGGUCUGAACCACCGAGCGCAGCCAAGCGUGGGUCCGGAAUCUGGUCUCCUAACCACCACUCCAUGCUGCCACCACUAUAGGGCUCCGCUCCCUUGAAAAAUUCCACCUGCUAUAGCUAACCUCUGUUUGACACCAGAGAAACUCAAGGUAAGAGAAGCUAAAAAGAACUUGCCCGGUAGAUGGUCCCGCUGGGAUUUGAACCCACGUGGAGUGAAAACUGGGUGGCCAUCUCAUACUUCAGUGAGUGCCAGGAAGGGCUGGGCACGGCUACCUGCAUCCCACACUCAAGGUUAGGUCCCCUUUGAAGAGUUCAAAGGAACAAUGACCCCAAAGCUCGAACUGGGAGGGGAAAGAGGUGUUUGCACUAUCUUCUACAACCAGCAUCUUAUUUUAUUUUAUUUUUUUUUUUUUAAGUAGACUCUAUGCCCAACGUGAGGCUUGAACUCACAACCCUGAGAUCAAGAGUUGUGUGCUUUACCGGCUGAGCCAGCCCGGAGCCUCUAUAGUCUCUGAAACAACACAUCGUAAUUCAUUUCAGCAGUCCCAAUGCAAGGACAAUGUUUCGCUAUUAUAAAUAGCCCUGCAGUGACCAUUCUUGCAAAUUAUUGUUUCCAGUAAUUCAAUGUACAGCCAAGAA